Molecule: ribosomal RNA, 400 nt
Filed under: uncultured bacterium
Lineage: Bacteria
Description: bacterial SSU rRNA
Rfam family: Bacterial small subunit ribosomal RNA
Source: RNAcentral
UGGGGAAUCUUGCACAAUGGGCGCAAGCCUGAUGCAGCAACGCCGCGUGCGGGAAGACGGCCCUAGGGUUGUAAACCGCUUUCAGCAGGGAAGAAACUGACGGUACCUGCAGAAGAAGGUGCGGCCAACUACGUGCCAGCAGCCGCGGUGACACGUAGGCACCAAGCGUUAUCCGGAUUUAUUGGGCGUAAAGAGCUCGUAGGCGGUUCGGUAAGUCGGGUGUGAAAACUCUGGGCUCAACUCAGAGACGCCACUCGAUACUGCUGUGACUAGAGUGCGGUAGGGGAGCGGGGAAUUUCUGGUGUAGCGGUGAAAUGCGCAGAUAUCAGAAGGAACACCAGUGGCGAAGGCGCCGCUCUGGGCCGUAACUGACGCUGAGGAGCGAAAGCAUGGGUAGCAA